UUCUUUUUAAUUUUCUUAAACCCUUUUGUUUUCUUUUGAGAUUUUCUCUUCCCUUUUUAUUUUUAUUUCUCCUCUUUUAUUUUCUUUGAGGCUUUUAGUAUAAAUACCCAUUUUUGGGUCAUAACUUCAUUACCAUGUACAUAAUUAAGCUUAGUUCUCCUUUUCUCUUAGGGUUUAGGGUUUUAGUUAGUUUUUGGAGAGAGAAAGUGAGAAACACAAUGGGUUGAAGAUGGAUUUUGAUGAUUCAAAGAUGGGAGUUAAUGAUUUGGAGAUCUCCAUCAAUAAUCAAUGAGAAUUUCUUACUUUUCUCUCUUCAUAAAUUGUCAUAUUUAUUGUUUUAUAUGUUUCUUGAUUAGAUUAGUUUCAUGUUUAGUCUUAUAAUUAAAUCUUUAAAUUAUUUGUUGUUUUGCUUAGUAUCAUGUUAUUAGUUAUUAAAGUCUUUAAAUUUAUUGGUUUUAUGUUGAUUGAGUAGUGUAUUGGUUAGGGUUUGGGUGAAAACCUAACAAUGAUUGAUUUGGGUAAAUGAGUUUGAAUUUGGUGAUGUUGCAUGAUUAAACUAUUGUUUGUUUGAGCAUACUCAAACUUUGUUGUAUGCAAAUUAGCUACUUGUGUAUGAUUUAGAUUUUUGGGGUAGUUGACUUUAGGAAAAUCGAGGGAUCGUGACUUAAGUUGACUAUUGUUUGGUUUGUGCUUAACCGUGACCUAAGGGUAGUUGUGUGUAGGGCGGGAGUUCGCAUUUGACUAUUCUAAGAAUUGAUCCAAGGCGGGAGUCAUUUGGGGAUCUAUUUCUAACCAACGCAUCAUUCAUACUUUGCUUAUGCAUCAUCAUUCUUAAUUGUUGCUCGUAUACUUGUUUCAUUAUUGUUGGUGUUUGAUCUCAUUCCUUGACCAUGUUUGUCCUUUGGUAGUUAGUUUAGUUUUAGUUGGUUAGUUGACUUUUCCAACCCUAUUCCGACCUAACUUGUUGUUCGAUUAGCAUAAAUUAGCGCACCUUAGUCCUUGUGGAUUUCGACCCUUACUUGUCGCUUUACUUGUGUUUAGUGGUUAGUUUAGGUUUUUUUAUUUGAUUAGGAGAGACUAGUAUCGACCUAGUUUUCCCCUCGAUCAAAAUGGCGCCGUUGCCGGGGACUACGGUUUGCAUUAGUUUGUGUUAGUUAGAUGAGUCUAGGUCAUUGUGCAUAGUUCUUUUUGUUUUUCUUAUUUAUUUGUUUUAUUUUGAAAAAUUCAAAAAAAUGGCAUGUUUCUUGUUUCCUCAAUUUGAGCGUGAACCGUUUUGGAGGUAUUUUGAAAGACUUGAGGAAUCUCUUGGAAGUGAUCAUAGGUUUGAUUUGUGGGAGUUAUGUGAAAUGAUUUAUGAUGGUCUUAAUGAACUUACUAGGGGAAUGGUUGAGAAUAUGUUUCAUGGUGAAUUUCGGGCUAAAUCAUUGGAUGAAGCAUGGAAUUUUUAUAAUUGGUUAGCUAGAGAUACCUAUGAUUGGGAAAUGACCAAUCAUGGGACAUGUGUUAGGGAUUUUCAUGUUUCUAAUGUUGAUUCUAGUUUUUGCAUGAAUUCCCUUGAAAUGUCCCAUGAUUUCAAUAGUGAGCCAAAUAUGCAUGAUUCUAAUCCCGUUUCCCCUUAUUCUCAUGUUGAUGAGUUGCAUUCUAAUGUAAAUGUUUUUUAUGCUUCUUAUCAAAGCCCUUCAAUUACUUGCAAGAAUUUGCAUGAUCUCCCUCAUAUGCUUGAUUGUGACUCUUCUUCCCUUGUUGAUUUUCAAAAUUCUAUGCAUUCAAAAUCAUCGGAACCUAACUUGGAGCUUCUUCUUGAGAAUUGCAUCAAAGAGUUUAAUUCUAGGGCCAACCAAAUAGCCGAUUACACGACCUUUCUUGAGGCUAAAAUCAAUGCUAUUCGAAAACCCAUAGAUCAUUUUGCUAUUAUUGACGAUGAUUUGAUGAAUGUUGAGAAUGAAAAUAAAUUGGGAAAGAGUAGUCUAAAUCUUGAUGGUGGUUUUUGGGAUGAUGAAGAUGUGGAGCAUGAUGUUGAGGAGAGUGAGGUAGCCUCUUUUGGAGAUUGGUUAGUUGAGGGUGUAGAAAAUCAUGAGCCCUUAUUGAUUGAUGAUUCGAUUCUUGAGUCUCUUACUCCUAUCUCAAGUGACCUUAAUUUCACUCCCUUUCCGCUAUCUUUAGAGCACCCGUCCUCUCAUAUCCCCUCUUCCUUGAGUGAUUUCUUUGGUCAAUGUGGAAGUAAGACAUCUUAUUUGAUGGGUGAGGAUGUUUUUGAGGCAAAUGAUGGUGAUUUGGAGGAAAGAUCCUUGAUUGAGGACCCUUUGGUCGAAAAAGCUUAUGUUUUGGAGUCUUGUGAUGCGGGAGAAGUUGUUUGUGAAACUCUUGUUUCUACCCCUUCCCCUUAUGUCCCAUUUUCGAGAAAGCUUGGCCUAGUUCCUUCAUUUCCCAUCUCAAUCCCUUUUUCUUUUCUCAAAACAUCUUCAUUAGAUGAUAAUCUUGCCUCCAUUGUCCUCAAAGUUCCCAAUUCAAUCAUGCUUAAGGAAAAGAGUGAGCAUAAAUUAGCGCACCUUAGUCCUUGUGGAUUUCGACCCUUACUUGCCGCUUUACUUGUGUUUAGUGGUUAGUUUAGGUUUUUUUAUUUGAUUAGGAGAGACUAGUAUCGACCUAGUUUUCCCCUCGAUCAGAAAGUUGCCUUCAAUUAAUCAGAUUCUUCAGAUAUUUGUAAGCAGUGAGCACCAUGAUUAGAUAUAAAAGAAACUCCCAUUUCUUUCAUAGUCCGAGCUUGAAUGUUUUGUUUCAUCUCAUUGAACCUUUUGCUCUAUGCCUCUGGAACUUCUACAGAGCUUAAUGAUGUUGACAUGUUGUUUAUUAUUAUAUGGAAAUCAAGGGUAUUGAAUUAAAAUUGUUUGAUUUUAAUGCAAGGAUAUCUGGAACCUCUUUUAUGUUGCAGGUGACAAAACAAUACAAUGGUGGCUGCAAAACAACUACUAGGAUUGAACGAUCCUGAAGAGAAGAUGAGAUUACUUCGGCUAGAGCAAGAGGAGGUUGAGAGAAUGGAGGCGGACUAGCUAGAGUUUGAGGAGAGAGAAAGCAUUGGAGAUGGAGAAGAAGAAGAGGUAGCAAGAAGAAUAGGAAGAACAAGCGCAACUCGAAGAAGAAGAAUCUUAGAGAGGGCUGAUACGCUGCACAAGAUAAACAAUUGCAGCAAAAGGGAAAAGAAGAUGAUGGGGAUAGGCAUCUGAUUCAAACAAUAACGAAGAAUAAGAAAUAUAGUGUGUCGAUUCAGGCUAAUGAUGAAUAUGAUUAUGAUGGGGCACCAACCAAAAAGAGAAGGAGAAAAGGUGCAGACCAUGAGAACAGAUCACAUUCUGUGCAGAAUCUGGUGAAGCACAUUGUUACUCAACAGGAGCGAUGCUUAUGCUGUUUUGAGAACCCAAAGAGACCUAAACAUCUUGUUGUAGCUAUAGCAAAUUUUACAUACCUAAUGCUACCGCACUUCCAUCCAGUUGCCCCUGGCCAUUGUUGCAUAUUAACAUUGCAGGUGCCAUUCCAGUAGAGUUCAGAUGUCUUACCAAGCUUGAGGUACUGGAUUUGAGCGGCAAUUAUUUGACUGGAUUGGUUCCGGCAGAGAUUGCAGACAUGGAGUCACUGAAACGAUUAUUACUUAGUGACAACAACUUCAAAGACACCAUCCCUCCGGAGCUUGAGGAGCGUAGCCAGCUGUCUGAGCUGCAGUUUAUGAAUACCUUGCAUCUGUUACCAACAGAAAAUUUGGCCAAUGCACAUCCGCACUGAUCUUGUAAUGAGACAGGGAACAUAACAAUACUGAGAAGGGCUACAAAAAUCACGCAUAAGGCACAGACGACCAUUGCUCUCUCUGCCAAGUGACAUCUUUGUGCAACGAUCGUCACCUCUAAGACCGAAUUACCAGAAACCCACAAUUAACAUCCGUCAUGCAUGGGUCUUUGAUCCUAAGAGCUUAUAUUCAGACUCAGAUGAUCUCAGAUUUGUCGAAGACACUGUCAACAACACCAAGUUUCUCCCAGGUGUAAACCUGUGGUACAAUAUCCUUCCAGAAACGACAUGCUCUCAAUUCCUAUUGCGCUUUUGGCGAAGGACAACAAUGGGAAGCAUCGGGAAUUGAUAAAGAGAAUAGAAGCUAAUCCAUAUAUGUCAUGUGAUGUCGAUAAUGUUACACUUCUUUCAAAAGUGUUAUCAAGUUCGUGGUUCAAGGGGUUCCCGAGAAAACGCAAGUUAGGUGGAGCACAUAAGAAUAAUCUUACAUUGUGAUAACAUAGAUCAGUUGUUAAACUAAAUACUUUAGCUAUAAUGCAUUAACCCUAGGCUGUUUGAUUUAAUUCAAUGUUUGGUACCUCUCCUUAUCAAGCUUUAAGACAUGUCUUGAUCAAUCCAACAUAGUGAACAUUGCUUGAAAGGGAACUGAGAUGGAUACAAUAUUUUAUGUUGGUCUGUCUUCUAUAUAUGUUAGCGGUUGGAGAAUUCAUGACCGAGAUCAAACAAGUGGCCCUAACUUCAGAAUUUUCACCGCUAGAAAUUGACCAAUAUUGUACAAAUCUAAGAAUUAGUCAAUUAUGUUUACCGGAGGAGGGGGGAAACAAGUUACGUAAAUGGUUAGACGAGGUAACACAAAUCAAAAUAGAUGGAUGAAAUGCUGCGGAGAAAUGGUUAGUUAGGUGAAUCCAACCCUAACAUAUUCACGAAGGUAUAAAUGAAUCAUGUAAUAUUUAUCUAAUUGUUAUUUAUUUUUCCGGGGAUUUUCGCUAAUCGUUGUGCCUAUUUUCUAAUAUGAUUUUGACAAUUAAUUUAUAUAUCAACAACUAGUAAUCAACAAAAAGAAGAGAAUCAUAUUCUAACUUGUUAUAAUCAACAAAGGAUUCUACGGAGUAACUUUGUCUUUUCUAUUUUCAAGGAUUCUUCUUGUAUUUUAUCUUAUAAUCUGCACCUACUGAUUUCUUCAUUUGCUGAAACAAACUGCUUAACAAAGGAGUAUCCAUAAGGACUUCCCGGUGUUCGUCUCAGGUACUGAGGUAUCAAGGAUGGGAUCACCCCACUUGGAAUCAACCUUUGACCAAAUCGUCCAAGUAUUCUUCUACAUGGACAAAAAUGGUGACGGAAAACUUAACAAGAAAGAUAUGGUUGUGGCAUUUACUGAAACUUCUUCGGAGA
This is an RNA transcript of Spinacia oleracea (spinach), 5169 nucleotides long. It is a transcript of the gene named probable calcium-binding protein CML22, with no coding region annotated. The transcript has 7 exons. Lineage: Eukaryota; Viridiplantae; Streptophyta; Magnoliopsida; Caryophyllales; Amaranthaceae. The record is from RefSeq and is a predicted model, not a curated record.